Molecule: non-coding RNA, 75 nt
Organism: Myotis lucifugus (little brown bat)
Lineage: Eukaryota; Metazoa; Chordata; Mammalia; Chiroptera; Vespertilionidae
Source: Rfam
GGAGUUUCUCGGGUGAUGCACCCUGGAACCAGGCUCCCUCCUCUCUGGUUACAGGUGUGUCACCCGAGAACCGCA